GAUGAACGCUGGCGGCGUGCCUAAUACAUGCAAGUCGAGCGAACAGACGAGGAGCUUGCUCCUCUGACGUUAGCGGCGGACGGGUGAGUAACACGUGGAUAACCUACCUAUAAGACUGGGAUAACUUCGGGAAACCGGAGCUAAUACCGGAUAAUAUAUUGAACCGCAUGGUUCAAUAGUGAAAGACGGUUUUGCUGUCACUUAUAGAUGGAUCCGCGCCGCAUUAGCUAGUUGGUAAGGUAACGGCUUACCAAGGCAACGAUGCGUAGCCGACCUGAGAGGGUGAUCGGCCACACUGGAACUUAGGAACGGUCCAGACUCCUACGGGGAGCAGCAGUAGGGAAUCUUCCGGAAUGGGCGAAAGCCUGACGGAGCAAAGCCGCGGGAGUGAUGAAGGUCUUCGGAUCGUAAAACUCUGUUAUUAGGGAAGAACAAAUGUGUAAGUAACUAUGCACGUCUUGACGGUACCUAAUCAGAAAGCCACGGCUAACUACGUG
RNAcentral lists this ribosomal RNA (497 nucleotides) under uncultured bacterium. RNAcentral's name for it is "partial 16S ribosomal RNA". It matches the Rfam family "Bacterial small subunit ribosomal RNA", at positions 28 to 507 of the family's 1533-position model. The record is from RNAcentral.